AGUGUCUGGUGGGUAGUUUGACUGGGGCGGUCUCCUCCCAAAGAGUAACGGAGGAGCACGAAGGUUGGCUAAUCCUGGUCGGACAUCAGGAGGUUAGUGCAAUGGCAUAAGCCAGCUUGACUGCGAGCGUGACGGCGCGAGCAGGUGCGAAAGCAGGUCAUAGUGAUCCGGUGGUUCUGAAUGGAAGGGCCAUCGCUCAACGGAUAAAAGGUACUCCGGGGAUAACAGGCUGAUACCGCCCAAGAGUUCAUAUCGACGGCGGUGUUUGGCACCUCGAUGUCGGCUCAUCACAUCCUGGGGCUGAAGUAGGUCCCAAGGGUAUGGCUGUUCGCCAUUUAAAGUGGUACGCGAGCUGGGUUUAGAACGUCGUGAGACAGUUCGGUCCCUAUCUGCCGUGGGCGCUGGAGAAUUGAGGGGGGCUGCUCCUAGUACGAGAGGACCGGAGUGGACGCAUCACUGGUGUUCGGGUUGUCAUGCCAAUGGCACUGCCCGGUAGCUAAAUGCGGAAGAGAUAAGUGCUGAAAGCAUCUAAGCACGAAACUUGCCCC
RNAcentral lists this ribosomal RNA (548 nucleotides) under Enterobacter hormaechei. Its description in RNAcentral is "partial 23S ribosomal RNA". It matches the Rfam family "Bacterial large subunit ribosomal RNA", at positions 2253 to 2800 of the family's 2925-position model. Lineage: Bacteria; Pseudomonadati; Pseudomonadota; Gammaproteobacteria; Enterobacterales; Enterobacteriaceae. RNAcentral also lists the same sequence under 1 other name. The record is from RNAcentral.